UUCUAUACUCCGCUCGAAGAUCUUUGGGUCCCUACCGUCAGACGUCCCGUCAUUUUCUGACUGUCACCACCACUUUUUGUGUACUGGUACCGUCAGUAUGGAGACUACCGUGACUGCCAUGGUCCUUCACCAGCUAAUGGAGUUGGAAGAAGAGGAAACCCUCCGCAGACGAGCCCACCAGAGACGUCUCAAGAUGCUAGCUGCGUAUUGGCAUCUGGCAAAUAUCGAGUUUAUGCCAAGAUGAACAGGGCCGUGCCUAUCCUCAGGCUCUUCUUUGACGAGGAGGAAGAAACCAGGCCAGACUUUAGGCUGAGCAGGGCCUCCAUCACAGGUCUGCUGGUGUUGCUGCAGCAGGAGCGGCAUCAUGGAUGGGGUUUAAUAGGCAUCACUCCAGUGG
Alosa sapidissima (American shad) is the source of this 397-nucleotide long non-coding RNA. RefSeq lists it as uncharacterized. The record is from RefSeq and is a predicted model, not a curated record. NCBI's taxonomy places the organism in Eukaryota, Metazoa, Chordata, Actinopteri, Clupeiformes, Clupeidae. The transcript has 3 exons.